RNAcentral lists this ribosomal RNA (452 nucleotides) under Salmonella enterica subsp. enterica serovar Enteritidis. Its description in RNAcentral is "partial 23S ribosomal RNA". It matches the Rfam family "Bacterial large subunit ribosomal RNA", at positions 763 to 1213 of the family's 2925-position model. The record is from RNAcentral. Lineage: Bacteria; Pseudomonadati; Pseudomonadota; Gammaproteobacteria; Enterobacterales; Enterobacteriaceae.
UAACUGGAGGACCGAACCGACUAAUGUUGAAAAAUUAGCGGAUGACCUGUGGCUGGGGGUGAAAGGCCAAUCAAACCGGGAGAUAGCUGGUUCUCCCCGAAAGCUAUUUAGGUAGCGCCUCGUGAAUUCAUCUCCGGGGGUAGAGCACUGUUUCGGCUAGGGGGCCAUCCCGGCUUACCAACCCGAUGCAAACUGCGAAUACCGGAGAAUGUUAUCACGGGAGACACACGGCGGGUGCUAACGUCCGUCGUGAAGAGGGAAACAACCCAGACCGCCAGCUAAGGUCCCAAAGUCAUGGUUAAGUGGGAAACGAUGUGGGAAGGCCCAGACAGCCAGGAUGUUGGCUUAGAAGCAGCCAUCAUUUAAAGAAAGCGUAAUAGCUCACUGGUCGAGUCGGCCUGCGCGGAAGAUGUAACGGGGCUAAACCAUGCACCGAAGCUGCGGCAGCGACA